RNAcentral lists this ribosomal RNA (251 nucleotides) under uncultured prokaryote. RNAcentral describes it as "partial 16S rRNA". It matches the Rfam family "Bacterial small subunit ribosomal RNA", at positions 525 to 775 of the family's 1533-position model. The record is from RNAcentral.
ACGGGGGGUGCAAGCGUUGUUCGGAAUCAUUGGGCGUAAAGAGCGUGUAGGCGGCUAGGUAAGUCAGAUGUGAAAUCCUUGGGCUUAACCAAGGAAGUGCAUUUAAAACUGUUAAGCUAGAGUAUGGAAGAGGGAGAUGGAAUUUCUGGUGUAGAGGUUAAAUUCGUAGAGAUCAGAAGGAACACCGAUGGCGAAGGCGACCUACUGGACCAAUACUGACGCUGAGCUGCGAGAGCGUGUGGAGCAAACAG